UGUUUUCCGUAACCCACCUUUGUUAAAAUCAAGGGUAAAUAGUUAUUUUUGCUCAAAUUUUAUGUAUAUGCAAGAGAAAUAAGAUCAAAAGGAAGGGUUUUAGGAAAAUUAAUAUUUGGUGGUUUCAUUGGCUCCCACCUCUGCGAAAAGCACAUGGUGGAGACACCGCACAAGGUGUUGGCUCUCGAUGUAUACAGCAACAAGAUCAAGCACCUUCUCGAGCCCGCAGGUGCUCACCCUUGGUCCAAUAACAUCCAGUUCCACCGCCUCAACAUCAAGAACGACUCUCGCCUCUAAGGCCUCAUCAAGAUGUUAGAUCUGUGGUUGCUCCCUAGGCAAUAGACUGUAUGGUACCUCCCACCUCUGCUUCUGUGCAUCAAUAAUGGACCCUCAAUCGAUCUUGCGUCUCAUGCCUAUACAAAAAUCAAGAAACAUCAAACAGCUGAUCGAGAGGUGCAUUUUCAAAAAUAAGAGAACUAGAGGAAGAGUAGUAGGGGAUAACAUACUUGACAAAGAGCUGCAAGUGAGGAAUAUCAGGGCUGUAGACAUUGUUGUUCUUGAUGACAACGAGGUGGCCCACAAGGCCUCCAUCAGGGGUCUCCUCAAUGGAGAUGAGACGGUAGCCUUGGCCAAUCUUGGUUUGUGUAGGUUGAUCUGGGUUUUAUUUUUUUGGGUAUGUUUUUCACGUUCAAGAUUUAUGUGAAUGAAAAGAGAGACCAAUAUCACUUUAUGAUUUUGUUUA
This is a long non-coding RNA of Quercus robur (English oak), 742 nucleotides long. RefSeq lists it as uncharacterized. Lineage: Eukaryota; Viridiplantae; Streptophyta; Magnoliopsida; Fagales; Fagaceae. The transcript has 2 exons. The record is from RefSeq and is a predicted model, not a curated record.